AUUGAACGCUGGCGGCAUGCUUUACACAUGCAAGUCGAACGGCAGCGCGGGCUUCGGCCUGGCGGCGAGUGGCGAACGGGUGAGUAAUGCAUCGGAACGUGCCCAGUAGUGGGGGAUAGCCCGGCGAAAGCCGGAUUAAUACCGCAUACGACCUGAGGGUGAAAGCGGGGGACCGAAAGGCCUCGCGCUAUUGGAGCGGCCGAUGUCGGAUUAGCUAGUUGGUGGGGUAAAGGCUUACCAAGGCGACGAUCCGUAGCUGGUCUGAGAGGACGACCAGCCACACGGGGACUGGGACCCGGCCCAGACUCCUACGGAGGCAGCAGUGGGGAAUUUUGGACAAUGGGGGCAACCCUGAUCCAGCCAUGCCGCGUGCGGGAAGAAGGCCUUCGGGUUGUAAACCGCUUUUGUUCGGGAAGAAAUCCUCUGGGCUAAUACCCCGGGGGGAUGACGGUACCGGAAGAAUAAGCACCGGCUAACUACG
RNAcentral lists this ribosomal RNA (481 nucleotides) under uncultured bacterium. Its description in RNAcentral is "partial 16S ribosomal RNA". It matches the Rfam family "Bacterial small subunit ribosomal RNA", at positions 28 to 505 of the family's 1533-position model. The record is from RNAcentral.